CUCUUUUCUACUGAAGUAAAGCGUGCAACACACUCCGGACAAAAUCUGCACGGUAGCUUUGCGGUAUAAAAUGAGCUACGGAACUGUCCGAGGUUCAAUGGGGUCUCUUCAGAUUUUAACCAGAGCCCGUUAAGCGGGGCCGGUCCCAAUAACUUUAGACACGUUUGCACAGUUGGACCUGUGGGAAGGAAGCGGAGCAGCACCGCGGAAGGAAUUCCUAAAGUGUUGAGCGUCUGCGGCGAAACACUGAGGGAGAAGGAUGUGGUGCACUGUAAUUGCCCUUUCAACGUGAGACAGGGCUUAGCUCACGGACCUUGGUUUACGAUGCCUUGCCUUUGUUAGAGGUGACAGGUGGCAGAAAGCUGCAAGAAAAUGAACUGUGAGAUGUAUAAUUUUCCACUGCAUAUUGAGAUAAAAUGGAGCCUGAAAGAGAACCUGUCUUUAGACUAAUGACAAAGCAUCCAACACAGGGCAUCCAACUGUCCAGAUUUCCUCCAUCAUGUCCACUGAUUUCUGCUCUGAAUCACCCUCUGGAAGAGUCCCCAUCAGCACACAAUUGCACCCCUGGAGACUUCACUGCCGGGUUAUGUAGCAGUCCCACAAAAUGGCAUCACCUUGCAGCAGACCUGCAGUAGUUAAGCACAAAAUGAAGCAGUGGAGCACUCAUAGUGGCUACAGCACACACCACAGCCCCUGCCAGAAAAUGAUGUGGUGUGAAGCCGACAACUGUCACCUUUUUAACCCACAGUUUGGUUCUAGUGUUCUAUACUCAGAAAAUGUCUGUUCAAGGCCCAGAAUAUUGAGUGGCUUGCUGAUGCAUUCCUUCCCACAUAUACAAACCUGGGCUUUGUUUGUUUUAUUGCUUGCUCUCAUUUCCAAGCCUGCAGCAUACGUGCUUCCCUGCAGUGGGAAGGGCUUAGAGGAAGUCCAUCCUGCAAAAAACACACUCCCUAAGUUGUUGCUUGAUUCUAGGAUCCACAGUUAGAAAACAAACCAAAACAUGGAGGCAGCAGAUGAAACCUCAACUACUGGUAAUGCUGAUGCUUCCUAUGGAAUUCUCCAAGCUGCAAGUGUCUCGUAGCCAAAUCCCUCUGACAAAUCGGUGCCUGUGUGGGUAAUAUCAGCACUGUGCUCAAGCAUCUUCCCUACCUUCUUUCCAGCUCAGGCAAUGGCCUGAGGUGGUGCUGGCUGUGAAAUGAGCCCCCAUCACAUAGUAGCUGAGCAAUGCAUAUCUCCUAGCGCAUUUUGUUCCCUUUAACGCAUUUCUUCUUUUUCUUUUCAUGACCUGCUGCCAAAAUCUCUUUGCUAAGGUUUCUGCCACCAUCGGCACCACACAAGAAAAGUGUCUUUGUUAACACAUUUAGGACCUGCUUUUAAUUUCUACAGUAUUCCCUUUAAUAACAAUGUCUAAUUAAAACAUCUGUUAAAAAGUCUGUAACAUUAACUUUACAGGGAGAAUUUAAUAGAAUUAUAUUUGAAUUGCAGCCAUUUAACGGUUUUCCUAAUUAGGCUGUUGAGUUUUUAUUUUUUUAACAAAAACAUUACACAAAUUAAAAUCAGGCCCAGUUUUUUUUUAUUAUUAUUAUUACAACAUAGACUGUGGUCAAAAAAAGGCCGGCAGUAUGUGAUGGUGUGUAAAGGGUGGAAAAAAAAACACACUAGCAGCCUGUGACUGAAACGCUAAAAUGCACAAAAUUAAACAAAUAAGAGAAGAUAUUUGAAAGGGGGAGGAGGAGAAGAGAGAAAAGAAAUUUCUCUGGCCUGUUAUUUGCAUGCUUUCCUUGAACACAAAUCCUUCCAAGUAUCUCCCCGUUGCUCUGUCUCCAGCCCCUGCCACCAUUCACUUCUCCUGGCUCUCACCUGUUUGGACCUUGUCUGAAUCUGGGAGCAAAAGACAUUGUAAAGAAGCCUCAGCAACCUGGGGAAAAAAAUAAAAAAUAAAAAAGGAUUUAUGCUAGAUUUGUGUUUGUCCACAUCCCAGAAGCUUGAGUCAAGACCUUUCCUGUCUGCAUUUCACAAUAUUGAGUGUGUUGGAAGACACUUUUGAGGCUCGCUUCUCCGGAGAGCUUUCCCAAGGUAUUCCCUGCUCUCAGGGCUGCAGACAGGUAACACAUAGCUCCAUGAUGCUUUAAGUUUCUUCCUUCACCAUGGGAAAAAACUAUCACUUGCCUAGCACAGUGGGAGCCAGACCCUCACAGAGUUAUGCAUGAUUGUGCCAGUCCAUAAAGAUGCCAGGUAUGCAGAGAUGUUGCAUGAACAUUAACUAUGCCAUUUCUUUGCAGAAAAGAAAUCUUUCUUUCCUCUGCAAAUGGUGCUUUUUGUGCUCUAAGAUGUUGUGUCUGUUUGCCUAUAAGAGCUCUAGCAGUUAUAUUUGGCAUAUGUACAGAAAUACAUAACCUUCAAUAGAUUCUAUGAUUCUAUGAUCUUCACUAGAAGCUGCAUUGUUAAACUUUUGAAGGCAAAGAUUUGCAGACAUUUUUAAAUAGGAGGAACUCUGGUUCAAGAUUUUAGUUGGAGAGGAGCUAGAACUUUAAAUUUGUGGGAAAACCUCUGCUGUUCCUUUUUUUCACUGUUCUAAGCCAAAACAAAAAGGAAAAAAUUAUACAUAUCCCAGGAAGAGCAUUUACAGUAAUUACUUUUAUAUCACACAUUAUAGCUCAUAAUUUACUCACACUUGUAUGAGGUAUUUCUCAACUGAGACUAUGCAUUUUACAGAGAAGUCUGGUGAUUUUUCACUGAUCCAGUGUCAUUUUUGUGCUGAGAAGGAGCUGCAAGAUAACACUACAGUUUCGCUCUUCAGCAUAAAUAUUUCAUGUAGCUCUCAGCAGAUGCUAAAGUUAGUGCCUGUACAAACAACUCAGAUGAAAUCCGGGCCUCCAAGUUGUCAGUGACAAAACUCUUAUUGACUUCAGUAAAGCCAAGACUUCAUCUUUGGUCUUUAAAUUGAACUUAAAUUUGUAGCGACCACUGGCAAGGGGAAACCCACUUCAAAGGAACGCUCUGACAGUUGGACAUUUCUCUCCCACUGAUCUAAACUGUAGUAAUCUCGUUUUGUUUCCCAAGCUAGCUUGGAAAUCACGUUGAGAGAAGUUCAUCAAAAUAGUUCUUUUGUUCUACUGUUUUCUAGCAAAUCCAAUGAAGCAACUUCCCUCAAGGAAUUUUCUGUACCACAAAGGCCAACCUCAAUAACAAAGAGCAAGUCUAGUAGGAAAAAAAUAACAACAAAACAUUCAUGCAUAGAGAUUAAGAAAUACAUUAGCAUCCUUCAGAGUCCUAGGGCAUUGGUGAGUCUUUGAUCUCUUCUUAGCUCUGCCAUACUGCGUUGCAUUUGUGGCUUUUGGACUCACAACACAAAUCAUAGUCUCUUUAGGGCUCAUGGCCUGUGGAGACCACGUGGAAGGCAAAUAUCUGGACAAUCCUGGACCAAACAUCUAUUUUUCUGUAGCUAUGAGGGGCUUAUCUUCAUUACCAAAUAAUCUAUUUCAGGCCUGUGUUUCUUCCUUCCACCAUUCUGCACACUGUUUCUUGAUAAGAGAAAACACUGAACUGAAUCCAAUUGCAAAUUCCAAAGCCAGAGUUCAAGCGAUGGACUCUGUUUUCUACAAUAACAUUAAAAAUCCAACCAGCUCCUACUGUGACUUAUGAAGUUCCUUGAAGGGAAUCCUCCAAAACUGCCUUUCUGCACAAGGAGGAUCAAAAGGUGCUAGAUGAUUCCACCUGGUCAAUGUUUGUGGUCGCCAGAACUCUACAAAUGCCCUGUCCAAAAAUGAGCUCGAAGGAGCUCUGCAGGGGAGCUGUACACAGGUAGAAGCAUGUACACCGGAGAAGCAUGGUCAACAUGCUUUCUGUGUACUUAAAACCUCAAGGAAUAAAGUUGUUUAGGAACAAAUCCUUGAGAAUCUGCUCGGUUAUUGGUGAGGAGAGGACAUUUUGGUAGUUUCAAAUGGCAUUACACAUUUGUGGAAUAGAAAUUACAGUUCAAUGUGUGGGCAUACUUGAUUGGACAAUCUCUCAGUUGAUGGGUUCUUCUGUUCAAUUACUAUUAAAAUUCAUCAAAUGGAACAGAGUGGUUUUAAUGCCUGUAAUUGUUGUAGAAAAUGCUCUGUAAUUGGUCUUACAAAUGAAGCUGAAGAGCAAGAUCAAACUCCAUUGAAAAUGAAUCUGUCUUUCCACUGAAGAGUUCAAGAGUCACUUUUAAAAUCCAUUUUGCAGGAAGGUGUUUAGCCAGUCUCAACUCCUGUUCAUUUUGUGUGGCAGUUUUUAUUUGCUUCUUUUGGCCUCUGAUACGUAAAUGAAAUCACCAGCUCCUGAACUUGGCUCCAUGUUCUCCCCUGCCUUGUAAAUUCAAAGGAAGGGCAGUGUUACAGGCAAUGAACAGCAGACCAACUCCAAAGGCAACUCAGGUGCAUUUGGGAAGUCUGGCACUGGGAUGAAGUGAAGAGACUGCAGGUUAGAGCCGUGCUGCCUCUGGUGGAGGAGCCAGAUCCUGAAGUUUUGCCCCUUUGGCAAAUCUUGCAAACCUCUGCCUCUUGCUUUUUAUGGGUGGAGGGGAGUUAUAUUUAGCCUUGUCAGAUGAAAUGAGAGGCAAUCUAAGAGCAGGGAACAAGCAGACAGUGAGAAUUUAAGAUACUUUUGCCACAAAAAGCACUGUCACCUGGAACUCUACUGUUAGCGAAGAAAGUGGGAAAGCAAGCAGGAUACUUAGUCAAUUUUCAGAGCAUCAGUCUAAUUGCAUGUUCCACAGAGUUCAGUGAACACUUGAAUCAAAAGUAUCCUACAUUUUCACUUAAACAUUUUCCUGCACAUCAAAUGCCUCCCUCAAAUACGGAAAACAUGGAUGCAAGUCUGCUAGACUGCCAUUCAGUUCCUUGGUAUCCCCAACCACUGGACCCACCAUCUCAGGAACCAGUAUUUACUUCUCCAUUUCUUUCUCUCACCUCUUAAAGACUCCAUACAACAACUUCUGUUCAGCAACUUUCUAUAACUGCCUUCUCUCUGCCCCUAGCUCUCACCCCAGCUUAAAACUUCCUGCUUGUCACCAUCCAUUCUGGAAAACACAGCUUAUUGUUCAUACCGCUUCUGUCAGGUCUUUUCUGCUUUGUCUACUUUGAAAGAAUUAAAAAGGGAGCUCAGAGGGGAUAAUUCUCUUUGUACAGUGAGUCGAGAGCUUUCCAUGGCACCUCCUCUCAUGAAAUGAAGUGAUGGCUGCGGAAGAAGAGGAAAACAGAUCUUAAACUGAAAACAGCUAUGUUACCACCCCCAAAGCAGUUUAAAAUCCCUCUCCAUGUUCCUGAUUUGUUACCAGAGCAUGCUAUUCAUGCACAUGCAGGCUGUCAUCAUUAGUCUGCACAUGUGAAAGAAGUUCUGUGCAGCAGUUCCUGAGGAAAAAAAGAGAAACUGUGCAAAAGCACCACAAUUAAGUAUAAACUCAGGCAUGCCUACAAGCAGGUAGCUGCAGGAAAGUGACUGGUUCUAAUUAAACUCCAAACAUAAAUAGAAAGACCAGAAUUUCAAAUAGCACCUAACAAAAUUAAGAAAAGGUCACAGACAUGGUAGUAUUUUUUAAAACCUACCAGCUCUGUUUAUGAAAACAGAUUACUUGUGAUUGUGAUUACUUGGUACACAUUCAGCACUAACUGGCUCACAGUUUUGUUGUGUAUUUAUGUACUUUGUAAAGUGUCUGUGAAGCAUCAGGAAAGGCCCUAAGUCUGCCCACAGAGCCACAGGUGGCCAAGUCUGUUCCACCACAAACUUCUGCAGGGGAUGAGCAACGUGAGAGGCAGCAGAGGGUGCUGGGUUUGUUAGGCCCAGAGCAGGGGAGGCUGAGGGGAGGCCUCAUGGCGGCCUGCAGCUCUAUCAUGGAGGCCUGCAGCUCCACCAUGGUGACCUGCAGCUCCUCACAGAGAGCAGAAGGGCAAAAGGGCUCUGAGCUCUGCUCUCUGGGGACAGCAAGAGGGCCUGAGGGAACAGCAUGGAGCUGUAUCCAGAAGGCUCAGGGGGGUUAGGGAAAGGUUCUGCCCCAGAGGGCAGUUGGUUUGGAACAGGCCGCCCAGCAGGUGUGUCAGCAGGUGUGAUGAGAAGCACCUGUGUGUCAUUAGGGUCACACAACCCUGCUCCUUCAGCCCUUCUGUGGGGGAGAUUUCUGUUUGCUUCCUAGCCAAAGGUUUGUUCUGUGCUCAGGAGGCAUUCAUGGCCCUUCUUGGGUUAUUUCUUUUCACCAGAAAUCAAAAGAAUUUUCUUCAAUUUCAGCUGAAAGCAAUUCCAUAUUUAGGUGGGAAAGGGCACUUGUCUGUGGUAAAGGUGCCUUGCUAUGAAAGAUGUGAUUUAACUAAAGUUUAAUUAUGUGUUGAAGCAGCCAUUCUGAUUGCAAUGUUUAGGCUGUAUUAGUAAUUUUUUCUAGUUUGUGACAAUUAUGCCUCUUUGUAGCCACAAGUAGUUUCAAAUUCUUUUUACUCAUUCAUUAAAAAUAAACCUGAAUUUCUUCAGCAAUUAGUAGUUACUAAGGAAAAAAUAUGUAUAUAUCAAUGUUGAUAGUCACCUGUGAAUCAGCACCCAGAGAGCUGUUUGGAGCAGGCAGCAUUGCUGCUGUUUGCUGUUCUGCCUGUAGCUAAGCAGCAAGCUGAGAAUUGUUUUAGCUGAGCUCUGAAGGAUAUUGCAGCUUGCCUCGUGCAGGCUGGUAGGUGGAAUGCUGGUAUUACAAAUGUGAAGAUGAAUAGAUAUCUUUGGAUCAAAAUGCGGCUUCAAAGUCAAACAAAAAUUACAGACCCGUUUGAGUCUAUUGUAAUGACAAUAACAACAGAAGGAGGAAGAUAAAGGUCUUGAGCAGGGAGUUUUGGGGGAAGCAGGAGAUUGCUAGAAACAGUUUCUGAGAUCGAUUGAUUUGAAUAAUACUCUUGGGCACAGAGAACAUAGAGAGGUAAUGCCUGAAAAGAAUAAAUCAAAUAUCUCAUGGCAUUUUAUGCAUUCAUUCCUCUCCUGGACUCUGUUUUUAGUUUUCAAAAAUAUGAACGAUUCCAGGCAAGCAGAGAAUGGCCUGUAUAUUUCCCACCGUGAUGAAUAGUUGCAUGUUAGCCUGUUCAUUUAAUGACAGCUAUGUAUAGUUCCCAUAAUAAAUCAGACUCCAGGACACAAAUGCCUUCUGUUUACCUUUGAAGCACUUUUUUUUUUUCUUUCCCUGAGAAUUGUGAUUGUUGCAAAAGCCUGAUGUAUCCACCCACACAGCAGCACCCAAACAGCUUGUUACUUGCAGGUUUCAGUCCUGCAAGGUCCUUAGUCCUCCCAGUGCCGCAUGAUGCCCCAAGGCACCCGUGUCUUGCAGGACUGAAACCUGCACAGGCUGCAGAAAAUGGACUCAGCCCACUGUGAGCAGUUAAGGGGAAAGUUCAGUCUGCACUUUGCAUGAAAAGUCUUGUUUUAAUCUGACUCUCGGUCAAUUAGUUUGAUCAUUACAUUAUAAACACUUGUCAUCUUUUGUAACAUGUGCCUUUGAAAAGCAAUGCUUGAACUUCUCAGCCCCCGAAGUCGCAUAUUUUUAACCAGAAGUUACACUAUGACUUCUCUGUACAAUAAUUAACCGAUAUGUUUCUUGACAUACAUAUACUGAAAUUCUCUUUGAUUUUAAAAAUCAGCAAUAUUGAAAGAUGCACACUUUAAGUCACUCUAUGCCAUCUUAAGUUACAACUGUGACUUCUAGAUAGCUGGUAUAACACUAAUCAUCAUCUAAUAAGAACACCUGACUCAUACCUGCCGGAUGAGAAGCGUGUGAGAUGCAUUCUUGCACUGCUCCAGCCCCAAAACAUUAUGCUCAAGAGAAAAGAGGGCAAUUUCUAUCUGUUUUUAUUUAUUUUGGGAAAACUUUCCAUGCAAAUAAAUGUAGCACAAAGUAUUGAGAACUGCCAAAAGACAUACAGAUUAUGUAUAUUUUUAUAGCCACAAAGUCACUCAAAUGACUUUGCUUCCAUUUCAUUGUUUGGCAUAGAUCACUUAUUGUGCACAUGUUUUCAGAUGGAAAUGCUGAAUUAGACUAUGGCAAAAUGGAUAAUGCAGCCCUAAUGCUAGCAUGAGCUAAUAAGAAACCAGCAAUGAAUCUACUGCUGCAGAUUGAAGUACAUGCAUUUCAUAUUAUUACUCAAGGCUUGUCUCUCCGAUUAGAUGAUUGCAUAACCUUAAUAUUAUAAAUCUUGCAUGAUGUGAAUUGUUCAGCUGUAACCAUAAUCAGUUUUUACUAAGGUGGCAUUUCUGUCAUCUUGUUAAACACAAACGUUAUAUAUGCGCUAGUCAUAAUUUUAUAACAGUUGCUUUUAGCAAGAGACGGUUUUGUCGGUCGGGAGCCGCAGUUUAGUGCAGAGAUGCAACGAAAGUGCUUAAGUUGCUCAUAAUGUCAGUGUUUGCUUCAGAAAAUAUCACUUUGUAGAUUCUUUCAUUUUCUGAGUGCAAAUUUCUCUUCAAAAGAAAUGGAAAAACUUGCAAGCUCUUAGCCAGAACUCUCUGAAAACCACUUUUCAGAUCUACUGAGACCCAGGUUUAUUUAAUCAAGUGGAAGCUGCAUGCUCUGCAGAAGCUGCGGCACCCUGUGGACCUUCUCCAGCGCUGCGACUCAGCUUGGAGAGCCCCAGUUAUUUCAACCCCUUUUUCCACAGAGGAAACACAGUUGAUCUCCUCAUCUGUAAAUUACCGCUGGCAGGGCUUUAUGGGGAUGCCACUGCCACCAACAUUUAAGGGUUUAAGACCCCCCCUAUAAACCUCAGCAAGGUUCUCCUCUCCUAUCAAUUCACCAGGGAUUUGUGCAGUUAAAUCUCACAGCGGGUAAUAAAUUUCCUGGCACAUCAUGGGAUGAAGGGGACCCGACUGGCACUGAUCUCGGUGGGUUGAGUCCAGCUUAUCUCCUUGACAAAUUUAUUGCCUUCAUCACGUGCUCUGGAGAGAAAAAGCCAAAUCCCUGCCUUGUAAUGGACACUUUCCUAUUUUUUACUGUAGAUCUUGCAUUGAGAUAGGCCUUAACAAAGAAGAACAUGCUGAAGAGAUAAGAACAAUUCAGGCAGUUCCAUGUGCUGUAAUGUGCAGAAAGCCCAGAGACUGCAUAACCAGGGCCGUGGGAUUACAAAAGAAGAGUUACAAGCUCUCCUCAGCUCCCUGGCUUAUAAUAAAUCUAAUCAAGGGAGAUUUCUCGUUGGUCUUAAUGGCAGUGAAAACAGUCCUAUACUCAGUAAUUUCAUACUCAAAUCACAUUUUAGGUCUAAGCUAGUAGAAAAUCUAAGGCCAAAUAACUUUUAUCAGAUGAUCUGUUGACAUGAUUUUCUUAUAGGAGUUAUAAAACAAUCAGUGCAGUGGCCUGUUUGGAACAAAAGAGUUGUUUCUGUUUUGAGCAUGUUUAGUAUCACUGGCACACUUGUCGGUGUAGAAAUCAGUGUCUUCAGAGACAAUUACCAGGCGUGAGGCAAAGGUAAGGGGGGCAACACCAGAACUAGAAGAUUUGACCGCACAGUGCCCCUGCACAUCAGAAUUGAGAGAGAUAAAAUUACCCUGGGACUCCCUGGCUGCUCACAGCCCAACCAAGGUUGUGCCAAUAAAGGUUCAUAUAUCCACCAGCCAUUCCAAAGUCACUUGUGCAAAUCAGAGGUUUUUCUGGCAGCUGCUUGCUCUCAGCCUGUAGCUCCUGCUACAGUAAGAACUGCAGAGCCUUGUUGGACAGUUAUUAUCUGUAUGGUCCAGAGAACGACCUGCAGAAGCCUCCAGCUCCCAAAGCUUCUCAACACUGGGCAAGUCCAGGCUCACACCUUAAAUUCCAUACUCAGGUCUUACUGGAGCUUUAUUUCACAAGCCCAUGAGGGGGAGGGAGGGGUGGCUUGUGUGGCCACUGGUCCUGCAGUAAACCCCAGCCAGCAAUUUCUCUGCAAAGUUUGCUGUGCUGAAACCCUGACUGACACUGGGGUGGAUUUCUAACAUGGCUGAGAGGAAAAGAUAGUUUUUAAUAUCAGUUUAAAAAAAAAAAAAAAAAAAAAAAAAAAAGAAUGUAUGGCUCCUAUAAACUGUUAAAACUUCACUUUAUUGAUCAUAAAUCUGUGUUUUGCUCAAUGCAAAAGUUUUUCAUCUUACACAGAAAAAUGCUGAAACAGCUACAAAUGCCAAAAACACAAAGUUUUCUCUCUUGGACAAUUUAUAGGGAAGUUAUUGGAUUUUUUGUUGUUGUUGUUUAAAAGCAUUCUUACCACACUGCUUGCCCACUGGUUUGGAGAAAUUACCUUUCAUUGCCAAGCUUUGUCCCUGACCUUCUCUGAUAGGAAGAGACCUGAAAAAUAAAGCUAGCCUCUUUUACAUACUGCUGGAGUUGAAAGGGUUGAAUAGGAUGAGAAGUACAAGCCAUGGGAAUGAGGGUUCAGUACAAUCAGGGAAGGACAUAUGCUAUUGCAAACGUACUGCUGAACAGGCAGCAAAACUGCUGUGGAGCACAGAGCUCACUGCAGACAGAAAACCCUGUGCCCAGCUUUAUCCCGUGGUCCACCCCCCAAACCUCUCCAAAACAUGAUGGAUGCUAUCAGUGCAGGACCACCAGGCACCCCAUGGGGAACUGUUCUGGGAGUGAACGUGGCCCUGGGGUACAUCCCCAUGCUCAGUGGCUCUGGGCACAGGCCCAUCUGUGUCCCAGUCCCUCUUUCUACAAGUGGGGUAAUGCACCUUGGGACCGAGAGAUUAACAGCCCUGUUUUGGUAUUAAUGAUCUGCAAAGGCUGGGAAGGUGCCGAGCAGGGCAAAGAAAUCUUGAUUUAUGAAUAGUAAAACACAAAACUGGAAGGAAAAAAUAGAGCAUUCUAGACCAACCGAGGGUGGUAUUGAGACAGGGGAGCUUUACCCUCUGAAACAUGUAUUUAACAUGGGUAAUCUUUACAGAAUUGUAGAAUAUCCCGAGUUGAAAGGGACCCACAAGGAUCACCAAGCCCAACCCUCAGCUCCACAUAGGAACACCCAAACCCACACCCUACAUCUAAGAGUGGUAUCCCAACGCUCCCUGAGCUCCGGCAGCUCGGGGGAGGAGCAAUAGGAUAAAGUUUUCUGUUUUUCUUUUUUUUUCUUUUGCAUCCAAUUAUUGCAAAUCAUAUGAAUUAUGCUUUUUUCAGUUGUAACCUGGAAGCCCCCUUUCUUCUGCUUGUUCUCCAUCAUGUUGUACAUCAGCUCUCUGUGCUUCCCUACAGUGGUCAGCACCUCCGUCGAGAUAAUGGACUGGAUCAUCACCUGGACAGCAUUUCUCUUCAGUCAUAAAUCAUGAUGGGAAUACUGUAAACAAAAGCCAUGAAAUAUGAACCCACAUAAAUAAAGGAAGGGAAGGACUGCAUUGCCUGGGGAAAUCUGUGCAAAGAAGUUGGGGGGGGACAGGGGGGAGACUUGCACUGUCAGAGGAACCUCAACAAAUGCAUAUCCUGAUUUUAAAGUUUAACUGUUACUAUAAUUAUUAAGAUUGGCCUGCUCAUGUGUCUCACAGGAAGCGGCUUUGUUCUCCUUUCUGCUAAUUUCACGUGUUUUCUGUUCCUCUUGGGCUUUACUUUUAUUUCUGUGCUUUUCCCACUUCUAGUAUUUCUGUCUACAAAUACCUUUGUUAUUUCAUCAUCCUUCCCAGCACACAUGGUCACCAACUCUUGGACAGUUUCUUCUUCCUUUGCUUCUGUUCUGCUAAAUUCACAUACUUCUCGGUACCAAGCUGAGACCUCCAGACAGCUCCUGCAGCAAAAGAUAUGGGUCACGCAAGUCUUGAGCUUUAGCUGUCAUUCUUGUUCCAAAACUGGGAUACAAGCACAUCAGCAUGCUUCAUUAAACCCAAAAUGUCAAAUCAUCCUUCACAACCACCAAGCCCUCACGAAUAUGAGCAGCUCUGUGGUUUUGGAGAAUUUUGUGAUAAAGGACACAGCAUUUAGCAGAUGGUACUAUUAGGAGGAAAAGUAGAAAAAAAGGAGGAGGGAAGAAGAAUGUUAAAAAAUGUGAAAAAAUGAAUAGCCUUGAAGUCCUAGGUGCUGUAGGGAUUCCUUGAUGCUAAAAUUGUUGUUAAUCUUGUAAUGAGAAUUCACUCUUUAUGUUUAUUGAAACAGAGGUGAAAAGGAAGAGAAUGCAUCACUGCUUUACAUCGUAACUGAAGCGAAUCUGCACGUCCAGUCCACUGAGGAGACAGCUCUGUUUUCCUCAGCAUCGCUGCAGACAUACCAGGAAGUCUAAAAUACUUUGGGAAGUAAAAUUUUGAGCAGUUAUUUUAUAUAUGUCAUAUCCAGUGGUUCACCUUGCUGCCCUGAGGCCACUUCCGUAUGACAGCUAAACUGCUGAGCGCUUAUUUAGCCUAAUACUGGCUGCCACUGCUAAUUCCCUAGCCUGUGGGAUCCACUACUUUGUGUUUCAUAGAGCUGAAAGACCCUAUUUUAGAAAAUAGUGUUUGUAUCGAAAACUGAUGCCAGUGCAUCACCACUCCUUCAGAGAAGGACUUGACGAACUCUCGCUUUUAGUGUUUCAUUGAAUGUUUGGCUCAGUUUCCUUCUGACGAGCAAGGAUUUUUGCAUGGGUGUAGUUUUACUUUCUAAAAUAACAAAUGUCUGUCUGUUCGGUGAUGUGCGUGCAUCAGAAGACAGGGUAAAAUAAACAGGCUGAAGGGCUUUGAUUUGCAGCACGGUUAAGCAGUGCAGGUAGAGCUGUGUUUCUUUUGGAUCAGCUGCUUUGCUUCGCCUUUGCAGUGCACUUCAUAAAUGCUGCAGACGGGUUUUUCAGAGCUUAUAAACUUAGCAGAAAUAAAAAGAACUAAGGGGCCUGACAGCUGAGAGAACUUUAUAAGUGCCACUGAAAGCCAGUAGGUCCCCAGCUCCUGGGGAGUAUAUCAGAGCCCUUGCAGGGUUUAUAAAUUCUGCUUAUUUACUGGCAGGUUUCCAUCCUGGUCAUAAAAGCCAUAGGUCAAAAAGCUCUGUUAGAUGGGGAACACGAAACCCAGCUUUCAUUUAACUCCAGCUUCUUGCACAAGGCUGUGUAGCUCAUCAGUGCAACUGUGGUGUACAGCCCUAAAUGUCACUGGGAGCCCAACUGAGGACAAGUGUCCACAGCUCCUGGCUUUGUGUAGAGCAGAUCCCUGAAGAAGUGAGCUCCCGUUCAGGCUCUAUUUAUAUCAGUCUUUGCUCCUUACAAUAGGGGAAACCCUAAAGGUUUGCUCAGGAGGGGUUUUGUCCCAGUUCAUCUUAACCCACCUCCAGGGCUGCUCCGAGCCCCUGGGGUGUGAAUCGAUCUGCUGUUUCCUUCUCCUUCAUGCACCCAUCUCCAUCUCAGAAAAUCUGGGCUCAUGAAUAGACCCAUUUGUCCACAGGAGCCCAAGCAGCUCCUCCCCUGCUCCACAUCCCUCAGCACUGCUAUGGGCAGGAAGAGGAGGAAUCACCAGAUCACAUCAGGUUCCUUCUAAGUAUCGCAGUCCUGGCUCAGCUCCACCCCAGCUGACAAGCUGCUUUAAUGGAUAGGCAGUGGCCUUCAGUGGAGGGGCUAAAUGUAAAACUUUCCUCUGCUUCUCUUGUCAAAGUUAAAAGCUUUUCAUGCCUGUGUUAAUGUUUCCUUUUUUUUUUUUUUUCCCUCCUGUCUGCUGGCACCAAUGACAAAUACUACAUCUUGCAUUGAGUAACAGUAUAUUGAAUGGCUGGCAGAGGCAGAAUACGGCACCUGUAAUUUAUCUCCGGGAGUUUGGGUUGGAUGACACUGCUGGGAACAGACCGGGGCUCUGAGCUGUCACCUGAUUACUAAUUCUAGGAUUUCUCCUCCGAGAGUGAGAAGGAGUGAGCUAGGAUGAAGGGUACAAAAAGCAAAUCAAUAAACAGGUUAGUUCAUCUUUGCAGAGGUUCCUUAGGAGAGCCCCUGGCAUUUCCCCUUCCCUGACAAUGGGUCAUACCUCUAUGGGUAAUGGACAGUGGGUCUUCAUGCUUUCCACAAGUGACAAACAACUGAGCAGCUCCAAGCACUACAAAUGAACAUGUGAUCAAGUGUUUCUGCUUAAAUUACCAAUAAAAUGCUAAAUCUGUGACAGAAUAAAUUGGCUGAAGAUGAAUCCCCCUGACUCCUGUCUGUGCUGCUGCUUUUUCAAAUGAAAACCCUCAUAAAGAAAUUAAGCUGGUUGAAAGGAAAAGCACCUAAAUUCGCAUAGCUUGCAUGGUGGAGGGUUUCCCAGAUUGCUCCAUCAUCUGGACCAGACCCUUCUUCAGGAAUACUCUGCUGCUUCUUUUUUGUUUGUUUGUUUUUAAAAGGUUCCCACAGGCACACUUCUGAUGGUGCUUCAAUCUCCCUAAUUGUUUCUGCCCAGUGCUGCUGCCAGGAGAAGGGACCCAGAGGCUGAGGGCAGCACACACAUGCUCAGACUUAAGGGCUGCUCGCUGCCCUGUAGGUGUGAGGCUGAUGGCAAUACGCUGCUCACUGCUUUCAUCUUUCCAAACUGCAUCUUCAUCACCUGUCCUCCAGGCAGACAUCUGAUAUAGGCUAAGUCUCCUGGCCCCCAGAAUGAAAGGGUCCAUGCUGGGAUCACCUAAAUCAAUUGGACUUUGCCACAAGAGAAUCACAGAAGCAUAGAAUCAUAAAGGUUGGAAAAGACUGCUGAGAUCAUCAAGCCCAACUGUCAACUCAUCACCACAAUGCCCACUAAACAGUAUCCCUAGAAUGGACUCAAACAAUGCCAGAUGCUUGGAAGUUCCUAGAUAUGUCCUAAAAAUAACCCAGCAAAGAUCUUUCAGAUGGUUCUUGGAGGAAACUUCCAUUCAGAGCAGCUAAAGAGAGAGCCAGCAUAAACUUGGGACAGCAUUUGAGGCUGUUUCUCAAGGAAGGGGUGAGGUUGGUCACCUAGGAGAUAUCUUUGGAGCAUGAGUAGUGCAGCUGCCUUUCUUUGGUCUGUCCCAGACUUACUUAGUUGCCCUCAGCAUCUCAAGACGUUUUUUCAGCUUAGCUUCCUACUGCAAUGUUGGUAGGUUCUGUAUUUAGUACAACCAAUCUUUAAACAUGCAGUAGAGAAGAGAGAGGUAUCUUUUAGUUCUUAACCUCAUUAAAAGCAAGCCCAAGAUCAUAGGGUCAUAGAAUCCCAGGAUCACAGAAUCAUAGAAUAGCUUGGGUUGGAAGGACGUUAAAGAUCAUCACAGCAGAGCUCCCUGAAUUCUUGUCUGUCAGGCAAGGUCCUGUGAUAAGGCCAAGGAUGAGCCCAUUACCACCAGCAUCUCUGGGCUCUGGGAUGAGGUGUGAAGCAUCUGCAAGGGUUUUCCACAUUUUAUGGUUUCCAUCAUCUGCUGGGACCCUAACCCCUGCCCACGCUCACUAGGAAUGGGCAGGAAUUACUGGUUUUGUGGGAAACAGAAGAUGCAGACAUGGUUGUCUGGUUUUACAGUUUGCAAGUGCAGUUAUUAAAAUACUCCAGCACUUGUUCAGCCUCCAGUAACAUGGUUCUCUGUUCUGUGGUGUUAUGUUGUGAUUGAAACCCACGUCAGGUACUAUAACGCUGCCCCAGCUGCUAGAACCAGUGCAAGAACUCAAGAGUUACCACCUGAGAGCGGUCAGUCAUUGGAACAGGCUGCCCAAGGAGUCACCAUCCCUGGAGGUGUUCAAGGAAUUAGGAGAUGGGGCACCAAGGGACAUGGUUAGGGCGCAUGGUGGUUGGGUUGGGGUUGGACUUGAUUAUUUUCGAGGUCUUUUCCAAUAUUAAUGACUCUAUGCUUCUAUGAUUUUAUUAUUAUAUGAACUCAGAUGAAGAUUCCAGAAGUGCCUGUGGGACAACCUGAGGCUGUGCCACCCACAUAUGCCCCACUGCCACUGCCAAGCUCCCCUCUGCAUAGCAUGUUUGUUUGUGCCAUGGAGAUGUCAGCUCAGCCUCCGGGGUUCUGUGAGACUUUCAACAUUAGAAGCUCAAAAAAAUAGAGAAAAUAAAAUAAAAUAAAAUAAAAUAAACCACACCUAACAAACAAACAAAGUAGCAGCUGCGAAGCCAGCAUUAACGUGUUUAGGUUUGAUUUUGAUUUUUAAAGGGCUAAUGACAAAGGAAAGCUCUGGCUCUGGAGCCUCUCUGCAGAGUUGAGAUCUAAUGCUUCUAGAAGAGGGCAGCCUCAUGAAUUCAGAGCCGCUUGCUUCCUUUAAUAUGCAUCCUAUUGACUAUGGCAAGAACACCCCCCUGCAAGCAUUAAUUGGAGCAAGCGGCGUCUGACAAUUUUUGUUUAAACUGUAGAAGACUCCUCCCUGGUGGGAGAUGUUCAGCAAUCAAAGAGAAGACAAAAAACAACAAAACCUGCACAUGGGCUGGUUGUGCUGCGGAUAACCCAGUGGAGAGCAGCCCUGGAGCUGCGGGUGUAUUUGGACAAGGUGACCUCGCACCGAGCACAUUAGUUGUAUUAUCAGCCUAUAAACUGUCUCUCUGCUUUACGUACCCGUAUGGCCCACAUACUGAAAGAGAAGAUUAGCUUGAUUAUCAAUGGGGGAAUGAGCCAAACAAUUACUUUCAUUAUUGAAUAUCCAAUUAAUUAUUCAAGAGGCCAAUCAAUUAUUCAUAUCUCAUUUAAACUGGGCGGGGGGAGAAGUGUUGCCACUUGGCAGAGAUGUUCACAGCCUCUUCAGAUACAGCAUCAAUUCUGCUGCAACGGGGUGGAAUGAUGGUGGGAGCAAAAGCCAGGCACCCAGAUGAUUUUCCCAGUGGAUGUCCAUUAUUAUUGCCUUGCAGCACCAUCCAGAGCCCCUUCCAGCUCAGCACAAGGUUGGAAAAGACCUCUAAGAUCCC
Gallus gallus (chicken) is the source of this 16743-nucleotide long non-coding RNA. Lineage: Eukaryota; Metazoa; Chordata; Aves; Galliformes; Phasianidae. The record is from Ensembl.